UUCCAUGAAUGAUGAGAACAAUAUUUUUACAGUUAUCCCUGUCUGAUAAAAUUCUAAUGCUGAUUUCUUGUAAUCUGACAUGUAA
This is a small nucleolar RNA of Salvia miltiorrhiza (redroot sage), 85 nucleotides long. RefSeq annotates it as small nucleolar RNA R38. The record is from RefSeq and is a predicted model, not a curated record. The transcript has a single exon. Lineage: Eukaryota; Viridiplantae; Streptophyta; Magnoliopsida; Lamiales; Lamiaceae.